ACGGAAGGCAGCAGUGAGGAAUAUUGGUCAAUGGGCGGAAGCCUGAACCAGCCAAGUCGCGUGAAGGAUGAAGGUAUUAUGUAUUGUAAACUUCUUUAGACGUAGAGAAAUAAGAGGCUCGUGAGCCUUGAUGCUAGUAUACGUAGAAUAAGGAUCGGCUAACUCCGUGCCAGCAGCCGCGGUAAUACGGAGGAUCCGAGCGUUAUCCGGAUUUAUUGGGUUUAAAGGGUGCGCAGGCGGCCCUGUAAGUCAGCGGUUAAAUCGUGGAGCUCAACUCCAUCCCGCCGUUGAUACUGCAGGGCUUGAUUGCGGUCGAGGUUGGCGGAAUUCGCCGUGUAGCGGUGAAAUGCAUAGAUAUGGCGAAGAACUCCGAUUGCGUAGGCAGCUGACCAGGCCGUAAAUGACGCUCAUGCACGAAAGUGCGGGGAUCGGACAGGAUUAGAUACCCUGGUA
Molecule: ribosomal RNA, 453 nt
Filed under: uncultured Porphyromonadaceae bacterium
Lineage: Bacteria; Pseudomonadati; Bacteroidota; Bacteroidia; Bacteroidales; Porphyromonadaceae
Description: partial 16S ribosomal RNA
Rfam family: Bacterial small subunit ribosomal RNA
Source: RNAcentral